RNAcentral lists this ribosomal RNA (487 nucleotides) under uncultured Desulfobulbus sp. RNAcentral's name for it is "bacterial SSU rRNA". It matches the Rfam family "Bacterial small subunit ribosomal RNA", at positions 902 to 1382 of the family's 1533-position model. The record is from RNAcentral. Lineage: Bacteria; Pseudomonadati; Thermodesulfobacteriota; Desulfobulbia; Desulfobulbales; Desulfobulbaceae.
CAAAGGAAGUUGACGGGGCCCGGCACAAGCGGUGGAGUAUGUGGUUUAAUUCGAUGCAACGCGAAGAACCUUACCUGGUCUUGACAUCCCGGAGACCCUUAGGAAACUAGGGGGUGCUUCCAUCUGGAAGAAUCUGGAGACAGGUGCUGCAUGGCUGUCGUCAGCUCGUGUCGUGAGAUGUUGGGUUAAGUCCCGCAACGAGCGCAACCCUUGCCUUUAGUUGCCAGCAGUUCGGCUGGGCACUCUAAAGGGACUGCCGGUGUUAAACCGGAGGAAGGUGGGGAUGACGUCAAGUCCUCAUGGCCUUUAUGACCAGGGCUACACACGUACUACAAUGGCCGAUACAAAGGGCAGCGACACUGCGAGGUGAAGCCAAUCCCGUAAAAUCGGUCUCAGUCCGGAUUGGAGUCUGCAACUCGACUCCAUGAAGUUGGAAUCGCUAGUAAUCGUGGAUCAGCAUGCCACGGUGAAUACGUUCCCGGGCCUU